This 319-nucleotide ribosomal RNA is filed under the name uncultured eukaryote. RNAcentral's name for it is "partial 18S ribosomal RNA". It matches the Rfam family "Eukaryotic small subunit ribosomal RNA", at positions 1470 to 1796 of the family's 1831-position model. The record is from RNAcentral.
CCCUUAGAUGUUCUGGGCCACACGCGCGCUACAAUGGUCUUCGCAAACGGAUGCAUUCUCGAAGGAGAAUGCCAAUCUUGGAAUCUAUGCCUUGGUCGGGACAGUUGCUUGCAAUUUUUCGACUCGAACCAGGAAUUCCUUGUAAUCGUGAUUCAUCACAUCACGAUGAAUACGUCCCUGCCCUUUGUACACACCGCCCGUCGCUCCUACCGAUCGAAGAGUUAGGUGAAUUGUUUUGAUCGAUAAGAUUUGACUAUGGUCAACUCUCGUUGGGAAAUUCUGUGAAUCUGACUGUUUAGAGGAAGGAAAAGUCGUAACA